Molecule: ribosomal RNA, 476 nt
Filed under: uncultured bacterium
Lineage: Bacteria
Description: bacterial SSU rRNA
Rfam family: Bacterial small subunit ribosomal RNA
Source: RNAcentral
UGAACGCUAGCGGCAGGCCUAACACAUGCAAGUCGAGGGGUAACAGAGAGAAGCUUGCUUUUCUGCUGACGACCGGCGCACGGGUGCGUAACGCGUAUACAAUCUGCCUUAUACAGAGGGAUAGCCUUUAGAAAUGAAGAUUAAUACCUUAUAGUCUAUUUUUAUAGCAUUAUAUAAAUAGUAAAGCUUCGGUGGUAUAAGAUGAGUAUGCGUCCUAUUAGUUAGUUGGUAAGGUAACGGCUUACCAAGACAACGAUAGGUAGGGGCCCUGAGAGGGGGAUCCCCCACACUGGUACUGAGACACGGACCAGACUCCUACGGGAGGCAGCAGUGAGGAAUAUUGGACAAUGGAGGCAACUCUGAUCCAGCCAUGCCGCGUGCAGGAUGACGGCCCUAUGGGUUGUAAACUGCUUUUAUAUAGGAAGAAACCUUUUCACGUGUGAGAAGCUGACGGUACUAUAAGAAUAAGGACCGGC